Molecule: ribosomal RNA, 491 nt
Filed under: uncultured bacterium
Lineage: Bacteria
Description: partial 16S ribosomal RNA
Rfam family: Bacterial small subunit ribosomal RNA
Source: RNAcentral
GUGAACGCUGGCGGUAGGCCUCACACCUGCAAGUCGAACGGCAGCACAGUAAGAGCUUGCUCUUACGGGUGGCGAGUGGCGGACGGGUGAGGAAUACAUCGGAAUCUACUUUUUCGUGGGGGAUAACGUAGGGAAACUUACGCUAAUACCGCAUACGACCUACGGGUGAAAGCAGGGGAUCUUCGGACCUUGCGCGAUUGAAUGAGCUGAUGUCGGAUUAGCUAGUUGGCGGGGUAAAGGCCCACCAAGGCGACGAUCCGUAGCUGGUCUGAGAGGAUGAUCAGCCACACUGGAACUGAGACACGGUCCAGACUCCUACGGGAGGCAGCAGUGGGGAAUAUUGGACAAUGGGCGCAAGCCUGAUCCAGCCAUACCGCGUGGGUGAAGAAGGCCUUCGGGUUGUAAAGCCCUUUUGUUGGGAAAGAAAAGCAGCAGGUUAAUACCCCGCUGUUCUGACGGUACCCAAAGAAUAAGCACCGGCUAACUUCGUG